RNAcentral lists this ribosomal RNA (464 nucleotides) under uncultured Planctomycetota bacterium. RNAcentral describes it as "bacterial SSU rRNA". It matches the Rfam family "Bacterial small subunit ribosomal RNA", at positions 365 to 819 of the family's 1533-position model. Lineage: Bacteria; Pseudomonadati; Planctomycetota. The record is from RNAcentral.
UUCGCAAUGCCCGAAAGGGUGACGAAGCGACGCCGCGUGUGGGAAGAAGGCCUUCGGGUUGUAAACCACUGUCGGGAGUUAGGAAAUGUAAGGGUGUUAAUAGCAUCCUUACUUGACUAAGGCUCCGGAGGAAGCCACGGCUAACUCUGUGCCAGCAGCCGCGGUAAUACAGAGGCGGCAAGCGUUGUUCGGAAUUAUUGGGCGUAAAGAGCACGUAGGCGGCCUUGUAAGUCAGUUGUGAAAGCCUUCUGCUUAACGGAAGAACAGCAGCUGAUACUGCAAGGCUAGAGUGCGGAAGGGGAGAGUGGAACUUCUGGUGGAGCGGUGAAAUGCGUAGAUAUCAGAAGGAACACCGGCGGCGAAGGCGACUCUCUGGUCCGUAACUGACGCUGAGUGUGCGAAAGCUAGGGGAGCAAACGGGAUUAGAUACCCCGGUAGUCCUAGCCGUAAACGAUGGGCACUAA